This is a long non-coding RNA of Astatotilapia calliptera (eastern happy), 1270 nucleotides long. NCBI's taxonomy places the organism in Eukaryota, Metazoa, Chordata, Actinopteri, Cichliformes, Cichlidae. The record is from Ensembl.
UUUUUUCUUCACAUUCUGUCUCUCACAGUUGACGUGUACCUCUGGUGCAAAUUACUGACCUCUGUCAUCAUUUUGAGGGGGGAACUUGCACAAUCGGUGGCUGACUAAAUACUUUUUUGCCCCACUGUAUGUCUUGUUCUACCGAGAUGAUCUCCCACAUAGAAAAUUCCAGGAUUUUAAGGAUCAAGUGAAACUGAGAAAUCCACAGAUGAAAAAUAUGAGUGUUGUAUUAUCGUGGAAGACACAGGAGACAGAAGGUCUGACAGAAAGAUUCGGAGAUGGAGGGAAGAAGGAAGAGGCUGGAUACAAUGUCGGACAGAAUGGACUGCUGAUAUCUCUGGGAUUUUCUGCAGUUGGAUUAAUUGUUCUUGUUAUUACUCUUCUGAUGCCUAAAAAACAGGAACAUCAUCCCAGCUUAUCCUAGUGAAGAAGAUGACAACCAGGUUGUCUUGAAGUAAUCACCUGGUCAACCAGGAGCACUUAGAGAUGAUUCAAAGAAACAGGAAGAAGCUGGACUCAGUGUUUUAUCUGUUGGUUUCCCAAUUCUCCAUAUAUAUGGCGUCGGGUUGCAAAUUGUGAAGCCAACAUGAUAACCGUAUCCAGCCAGUGAUGUGGAGAUACACGUUUUAGAUCCACUUAAAAUCAAAUCACUCAAAAAGAUCCUCUGGAAAAGAGUAGAAUUCUUGAAACAGAGUUUAUUAAACAGAGUCAUAUAAACAGCCAAACAGUUCAUCACAAUACACAGAACAGCAACACAGCAUGUAGCACAGUAGGCAAACCAAAUCCUGUGGGGUGACGUGAGGAGGGCUGUGCACAAGAGACGUCCUCGGAAUCUAAUGUAUUUGGAGUGCUUUUGCAAGGAAGUGUGGACAAAUAUGGCAAACGUAAGAUGUGCCAUGAAAUACUGUGAUUAACUAAAACAUAUUUGUUUCUUUUUCAUCUUUGUUACCAAGGUCUGCACCAAUAAAGUGACCCUAUCUCUCAACUGCCACCUUAAUGUGGUGGAGGGAUUUGUGAACUCAGAUGUUGCUGGGAGCUGAGCUAUCUGGAGGCUUCAGCUCCUGGUAGGUUCUCCUGAGACAAACUGGUCUCAGGUGGUGAACUAGACUAAGAGCAGUUCACAUGAACUGUAUUUACUAUUCACACACUGCUAAACACACUGCUGCUAUUCUUUUGCUCUUGAAUGAAUUGAAAAACAUGCUUCAGGAAAUAAUUGUUUUGAUAAUAGUUCAUCUUUGAUUUAGUAAAAAGAUUAAAGUGAAAAGUGUUU